GUGCUCACUUCGGCAACACAUAUACUAAAAUUGGAAUGAUACAGAGAUUAGCAUGGCCCCUGUGCAAGGAUAACACAAAUUUAGCCUAGAGAUGAGUCAAGAAUUG
Small nuclear RNA from Manis javanica (Malayan pangolin), 106 nucleotides. The record is from RefSeq and is a predicted model, not a curated record. NCBI's taxonomy places the organism in Eukaryota, Metazoa, Chordata, Mammalia, Pholidota, Manidae.